AUUGAACGCUGGCGGCAGGCCUAACACAUGCAGGUCGAGCGGAUGAAGGGAGCUUGCUCCUGGAUUCAGCGGCGGACGGGUGUGUAAUGCCUAGGAAUCUGCCUGGUAGUGGGGGAUAACGUCCGGAAACGGGCGCUAAUACCGCAUACGUCCUGAUGGAGAAAGUGGGGGAUCUUCGGACCUCACGCUAUCAGAUGAGCCUAGGUCGGAUUAGCUAGUUGGUGGGGUAAAGGCCUACCAAGGCGACGAUCCGUAACUGGUCUGAGAGGAUGAUCAGUCACACUGGAAGUGAGACACGGUCCAGACGCCUACGGGAGGCAGCAGUGGGGAAUAUUGGACAAUGGGCGAAAGCCUGAUCCAGCCAUGCCGCGUGUGUGAAGAAGGUCUUCGGAUUGUAAAGCACUUUAAGUUGGGAGGAAGGGCAGUAAGUUAAUACCUUGCUGUUUUGACGUUACCAACAGAAUAAGCACCGGCUAACUUCGUG
This 484-nucleotide ribosomal RNA is filed under the name uncultured bacterium. Its description in RNAcentral is "partial 16S ribosomal RNA". It matches the Rfam family "Bacterial small subunit ribosomal RNA", at positions 30 to 507 of the family's 1533-position model. The record is from RNAcentral.